This is a small nucleolar RNA of Prinia subflava (tawny-flanked prinia), 132 nucleotides long. RefSeq annotates it as small nucleolar RNA SNORA84. The record is from RefSeq and is a predicted model, not a curated record. The transcript has a single exon. Lineage: Eukaryota; Metazoa; Chordata; Aves; Passeriformes; Cisticolidae.
GCCCUGUGGUUGCCGGACGCCGCUGUGCCCGUGCGGCGCUCCGGUGGGAGAUGGGCCCACAGUGACGCUGUGAGUGACGCAGGGGGGCUGUGACCCCUGAGCAGCCCCCACAGCCCGGUCACAGGGACACCC